This 614-nucleotide ribosomal RNA is filed under the name uncultured Actinomycetes bacterium. Its description in RNAcentral is "bacterial SSU rRNA". It matches the Rfam family "Bacterial small subunit ribosomal RNA", at positions 797 to 1413 of the family's 1533-position model. The record is from RNAcentral. Lineage: Bacteria; Bacillati; Actinomycetota; Actinomycetes.
ACGCCGUAAACGGUGGGCGCUAGUUGUGCGAACCUUCCACGGUUUGUGCGACGCAGCUAACGCAUUAAGCGCCCCGCCUGGGGAGUACGAUCGCAAGAUUAAAACUCAAAGGAAUUGACGGGGCCCCGCACAAGCAGCGGAGCAUGCGGCUUAAUUCGACGCAACGCGAAGAACCUUACCAAGGCUUGACAUAUACAGGAAUACGGCAGAGAUGUCGUAGCCGCAAGGUCUGUAUACAGGUGGUGCAUGGUUGUCGUCAGCUCGAGUCGUGAGAUGUUGGGUUAAGUCCCGCAACGUGCGCAACCCUCGUUCUGUGUUGCCAGCAUUUAGUUGGGGACUCACAGGAGACUGCCGGGGUUAACUCGGAGGAAGGUGGGGAUGACGUCAAAUCAUCAUGCCCCUUAUGUCUUGGGCUGCACGCAUGCUACAAUGGCUGGUACAAACGGCUGCGAUACCGCAAGGUGGAGCGAAUCCGAGAAAGCCAGUCUCAGUUCGGAUUGGGGUCUGCAACUCGACCCCAUGAAGUCGGAGUUGCUAGUAAUCGUAGAUCAGCAACGCUACGGUGAAUACGUUCCCGGGGCUUGUACACACCGCCCGUCACAUCACGAAAGUCG